UUUUAAAACGACGGCCAGUGCGGUAUCCUGACCGUGCUAAGGUAGCAUAAUAAUAUGCCUUCUGAUUAGAGGCUAGAAUGAAUGGGUUAACGAAGUAUAUACUUUCUUCCUUAUACCCCUGUAAAUUAAAAUUUAAGUGAAAAUUCUUAAAUUCAAAAGAAAGACAAAAAGACCCUAGGAGCUUUCCACUUUUAUACCCCCGCCCAAAAAGUUUUUAGUUGGGGCAACUAAACCUCAUUUAAGAAGGUUUAAAACCUCAGACCCCACGUCUCCCCUAAGAUCCAAAAGAUAAUAGGCUCUAAGCUACCCUAGGGAUAACAGGCUAAUCCCUCUUAAAAGACCAAAUUAGCAGAGGGGCUUGGCACCUCGAUGUUGGCUUAGGAGUCAUAGCUGUUUCCUGAAA
This 403-nucleotide ribosomal RNA is filed under the name Sabellidae sp. ZMMU WS16329. RNAcentral's name for it is "partial large subunit ribosomal RNA". It matches the Rfam family "Bacterial large subunit ribosomal RNA", at positions 1910 to 2571 of the family's 2925-position model. Lineage: Eukaryota; Metazoa; Annelida; Polychaeta; Sabellida; Sabellidae. The record is from RNAcentral.